This 491-nucleotide ribosomal RNA is filed under the name uncultured bacterium. Its description in RNAcentral is "partial 16S ribosomal RNA". It matches the Rfam family "Bacterial small subunit ribosomal RNA", at positions 29 to 506 of the family's 1533-position model. The record is from RNAcentral.
AGUGAACGCUGGCGGUAGGCCUAACACAUGCAAGUCGAACGGCAGCACAGUAAGAGCUUGCUCUUACGGGUGGCGAGUGGCGGACGGGUGAGGAAUACAUCGGAAUCUACUCUUUCGUGGGGGAUAACGUAGGGAAACUUACGCUAAUACCGCAUACGACCUACGGGUGAAAGUAGGGGAUCUUCGGACCUUGCGCGAUUGAAUGAGCCGAUGUCGGAUUAGCUAGUUGGCGGGGUAAAGGCCCACCAAGGCGACGAUCCGUAGCUGGUCUGAGAGGAUGAUCAGCCACACUGGAACUAAGACACGGUCCAGACUCCUACGGGAGGCAGCAGUGGGGAAUAUUGGACAAUGGGCGCAAGCCUGAUCCAGCCAUACCGCGUGGGUGAAGAAGGCCUUCGGGUUGUAAAGCCCUUUUGUUGGGAAAGAAAAGCAGCAGGUUAAGACCCCGCUGUUCUGACGGUACCCAAAGAAUAAGCACCGGCUAACUUCGU